RNAcentral lists this ribosomal RNA (443 nucleotides) under uncultured bacterium. RNAcentral describes it as "partial 16S ribosomal RNA". It matches the Rfam family "Bacterial small subunit ribosomal RNA", at positions 338 to 795 of the family's 1533-position model. The record is from RNAcentral.
CCUACGGGAGGCAGCAGUGGGGAAUAUUGGGCAAUGGAGGAAACUCUGACCCAGCAACGCCGCGUGAAUGAUGAAGGUCUUCGGAUUGUAAAGUUCUUUUCUACGGGAAGAAGAAAGUGACGGUACCUUAGGAAUAAGCCUCGGCUAACUACGUGCCAGCAGCCGCGGUAAUACGUAGGAGGCAAGCGUUAUCCGGAAUGACUGGGCGUAAAGGGGGCGUAGGUGGUUCAGCAAGUUAGUAGCGUAAUUCCGGAGCUCAACUUCGGCACUACUACUAAAACUGUUGGACUUGAGUGCAGGAGGGGCAACUGGAAUUUCUAGUGUAGCGGUGGAAUGCGUAGAUAUUAGGAAGAACACCGGUGGCGAAGGCGAGUUGCUGGACUGUAACUGACACUGAGGCACGAAAGCGUGGGGAGCAAACAGGAUUAGAUACCCUUGUAGUC